GAUGAACGCUGGCGGCGUGCCUAAUACAUGCAAGUCGAGCGAACAGACGAGGAGCUUGUUCCUCUGACGUUAGCGGCGGACGGGUGAGUAACACGUGGAUAACCUACCUAUAAGACUGGGAUAAUUUCGGGAAACCGGAGCUAAUACCGGAUAAUAUAUUGAACCGCAUGGUUCAAUAGUGAAUGACGGUUUUGCUGUCUCUUAUAGAUGGAUCCGCGCCGCAUUAGCUAGUUGGUAAGGUAACGGCUUACCAAGGCGACGAUGCGUAGCUGACCUGCGAGGGUGAUCGGCCACACUGGAACUGAGACACGGUCCAGACUCCUACGGGAGGCAGCAGUAGGGAAUCUUCGGCAAUGGGCGGAAGCCUGACGGAGCAACGCCGCGUGAGUGAUGAAGGUCUUCGGAUCGUAAAACUCUGUUAUUAGGGAAGAACAAAUGUGUAAUUAAAUAUGCACGUCUUGACGGUACCUAAUCAGAAAGCCACGGCUAACUACGUG
This 497-nucleotide ribosomal RNA is filed under the name uncultured bacterium. RNAcentral describes it as "partial 16S ribosomal RNA". It matches the Rfam family "Bacterial small subunit ribosomal RNA", at positions 28 to 507 of the family's 1533-position model. The record is from RNAcentral.